This 230-nucleotide ribosomal RNA is filed under the name uncultured bacterium. Its description in RNAcentral is "partial 16S ribosomal RNA". It matches the Rfam family "Bacterial small subunit ribosomal RNA", at positions 565 to 793 of the family's 1533-position model. The record is from RNAcentral.
GCGCAUGCAGGCGGCCUGUUAAGUCAGAUGUGAAAGCCCGGGGCUUAACCUCGGAAUUGCAUUUGAAACUGGCAGGCUAGAGUCUUGUAGAGGGGGGUAGGAAUUUCAGGUGUAGCGGUGAAAUGCGUAGAGAUCUGAAGGAAUACCAGUGGCGAAGGCGGCCCCCUGGACAAAGACUGACGCUCAGAUGCGAAAGCGUGGGGAGCAAACAGGAUUAGAUACCCUGGUAG